CUACGGGAUGCUGCAGUAGGGAAUUUUCGGCAAUGGAGGAAACUCUGACCGAGCAACGCCGCGUGAAUGAAGACAUAUUUCGGUAUGUAAAGUUCUUUUAUUAGGGAAGAAUAGCCCAUGGAAAAAUGGGUGUGACGGUACCUAAUGAAUAAGCCCCGGCUAACUAUGUGCCAGCAGCGCGCGGUAAUACAUAGGGGGCAAGCGUUAUCCGGAAUUAUUGGGCGUAAAGGGUGCGUAGGCGGCCAUUUAAGUCUUUGGUAUAAGUGCAGUGCUUAACGCUGUGAUGCUAAGGAAACUGAAUGGCUUGAGUGAGAUAGAGGCAAGUGGAAUUCCAUGUGUAGCGGUAAAAUGCGUAAAUAUAUGGAGGAACACCAGUGGCGAAGGCGGCUUGCUGGGUCUACACUGACGCUGAGGCACGAAAGCGUGGGGAGCAAACAGGAUUAGAUACCCUCGUAGUC
Molecule: ribosomal RNA, 458 nt
Filed under: uncultured bacterium
Lineage: Bacteria
Description: partial 16S ribosomal RNA
Rfam family: Bacterial small subunit ribosomal RNA
Source: RNAcentral